Molecule: long non-coding RNA, 1668 nt
Organism: Corythoichthys intestinalis (scribbled pipefish)
Lineage: Eukaryota; Metazoa; Chordata; Actinopteri; Syngnathiformes; Syngnathidae
Exons: 3
Source: RefSeq, a predicted model, not a curated record
UUCACAAAUGUACCAUCAUGAUGUCAAAUCAAAGUGAGGCAACGCAUGAAGGACAUAAAUUCGGCUCCAUUUUUUUCACUCGCUUUGGAUGAGUUACCAGACGUAAGCAAUUUAUCACAGUUCAGCGUGAUCGCAAGGUAUGUUGUUGUUUACACACUAUGUGAGGAAAGUCUGGCAGUUUUGGCUAUGCAUGGGACAACAAGAGGGAAAGAUUUAUUCAAGUCCUUCAAUGAGUUCGCUAAAGAAAUGGACAAACUUGUGCUCCGUGUAUGGUUGGAAAAAACAUAGGAUACGUGUCGUUUCUUUGUGAACAUGAAAAGAGACGUAUCCUAAGUUUCUCAAUGCCUGCAUGACGCUUAACCUCAUCAAGUAUCAACCAGACUACAAAGCCGUCAGCAACACCAUGCAGCACCAGAAGUCGCAUUAAUGCAAAAAAAUGGCAGACAUGGACUUCACUUUGGUUUGUUGAAUGGCUACAACAAGAAAAGGAUGCAUCAAAAUGCUUACGUAUUUCAGGUGGCGCAGUGUGAAAAGCUGGACUUUUUCAACGAGCAACCCAUUCAUGGUGUAUGUGCGAGGGGACUUCACAGCGAAAGUGAGCAGUGGCGGCCGUUUUGGAAGGAUCGGCAAGUCUUGGGGCCCAAAACAGAAACUGCCGCGCUCACGUUCACAACGCAUCCAAUAGCAGAGGUGCAGUCCAGGGCCGGUCCAGCCUAUACGCAGACUAUGCAGCUGCUUAGGGCCCCACUAGGGGGCCCCCAAUCUGCCAAUUGUUUAAUUUAUAUUCAAUUUUUUUUUCUGCAGUUUGCUUUAUUUGACUUUUGUGAGUUUUGAUACUUGAUUACAAACUUUAAAAAAUAAAAGUUCUUCCUUAACUUCUUUCUUUCCUCUUUUAGAAAAAGGUUUGGCGCUAUCUACUGUAAGUACUGACAAUCAUUUGGGGUGAGAAGUUUGAAGUAUGCAGUGCAACAAAAUCUGAUUAAUAUACAAAAUAUGGACGUAUGGGUUGGAUUGCAUGUAUGGGUUUCACAGUACACUGUGAUGAAAUGGUGGGCCAAAAAUAUGGGCCCCUUCGCAUUUUUUUGCUUAGGGCCCCCAAAUGGCCUGGGCCGGCCCUGAGGCAGUCUUACUGAUAUCUGUGCUAUCGGGCUGUUUCGUCAAACAGAUACGCAUUCGCGAGCUCUGGGAUACUAAAGAAAUGGCUCUCACAUCUCUCCUUGCUAAGCUAAAUGAUAUGUCGCUGUGCGUUAGGAAAUAGGGAAAUUCGCUGUUUUCUUGUGCAACAAAUGGAAAAUAAAUGCAUUGAUGCUUGGCUAAGAAAGUAAAUAUGCUUGCUGAAGCUUUACUUUCUGACAGCGCCUCCCUCAGCCUACGUGGCUUCUCCCGUUUUAAGCUUGCUUUUUUCACACGGGGCUGCAGCUAGUGUGAAACAGCCUCAAAUUUAUAUAUCGUAUUUUCUGCACAAUAGGGCGGCCCUAAAGCCUCAGUUUUCUCAAAAGUCGACAGCGCACCUUAUAAAUGGAUCAAUACUGGUUAACCAUGGCAUUCCAUUUAGCGCAGCUCCAUCUAGUGGAUGCUUAACGCAACCCCAACGGCUACUACGGUACUCCUGCACCUAAUAACGUGGUGGCCGAAAAUAUGAAAACAGUUUUAAACUAGGCCAUUCUU